UGCACAGGCAUAGCGCCUGUGCUUUUCGGUACCCUAAGGCGGUACCAGAAUAAGGGCUGGGCAAGACCGGUGCCAGCCGCCGCGGUAAUACCGGCAGCCCAAGUGAUGGUCGAUCUUAUUGGGCCUAAAGCGUCCGUAGCUGGCCACGCAAGUCCAUCGGGAAAUCCACCCGCCCAACGGGUGGCCGCCCGGUAGAAACUGCGUGGCUUGGGACCGGAAGGCGCGACGGGUACGUCCGGGGUAGGAGUGAAAUCCCGUAAUCCUGGACGGACCGCCGAUGGCGAAAGCACGUCGCGAGGACGGAUCCGACAGUGAGGGACGAAAGCCAGGGUCUCGAACCGGAUU
RNAcentral lists this ribosomal RNA (345 nucleotides) under Halorubrum sp. EngPdB2. Its description in RNAcentral is "bacterial SSU rRNA". It matches the Rfam family "Archaeal small subunit ribosomal RNA", at positions 385 to 730 of the family's 1478-position model. Lineage: Archaea; Methanobacteriati; Methanobacteriota; Halobacteria; Halobacteriales; Haloferacaceae. The record is from RNAcentral.